Molecule: ribosomal RNA, 499 nt
Filed under: uncultured Gram-positive bacterium
Lineage: Bacteria
Description: bacterial SSU rRNA
Rfam family: Bacterial small subunit ribosomal RNA
Source: RNAcentral
AGAGUUUGAUCCUGGCUCAGGACGAACGCUGGCGGCGUGCCUAACACAUGCAAGUCGAACGGAGUCGGCCCCGCAAGGGACUGACUUAGUGGCGAACGGGUGAGUAACGCGUGAGCAACCUGCCUUUCAGUGGGGGACAACAGUUGGAAACGACUGCUAAUACCGCAUAAUGCAUUUUGACCGCAUGAUCGAGAUGCCAAAGAUUUAUUGCUGAAAGAUGGGCUCGCGUCUGAUUAGAUAGUUGGUGAGGUAACGGCCCACCAAGUCGACGAUCAGUAGCCGGACUGAGAGGUUGAACGGCCACAUUGGGACUGAGAUACGGCCCAGACUCCUACGGGAGGCAGCAGUGGGGAAUAUUGGGCAAUGGGGGAAACCCUGACCCAGCAACGCCGCGUGAAGGAAGAAGGCUUUCGGGUUGUAAACUUCUUUUACCAGGGACGAAGAAAGUGACGGUACCUGGAGAAAAAGCCACGGCUAACUACGUGCCAGCAGCCGCGGU